AUGGAGUUGGACGCAGAGAUGGUCUUGCUAGCUUGAGCUCAUCUUCUCCACCUUUCCUCUGGGUCGCUUUGCUGUGCGCGACAUGAGGCAGACCGUGGCCGUCGGUGUCAUCAAGUCAGUUGACAAGAAGCUCGCCUCCGGUGGAAAGGUCACCAAGUCUGCACAGAAGGCCGAAAAGAAGAAAUGAAUUCACAUGCAGGACGUCCAACAAAGAGUCACGUCUCAGCAGCAGCGGCCCGCACCAUCCCUUCUUCUUCCCUGCCACCCAGCGCCGUCUGCUCUGAGGCAGAGCUCUCUACUUAAGGACUGGCUUAUGCUGAUUAAAACCCAUCGGAAAAGUUUCCGCAGGAAAGGAAGGCUCGUGCCUUUUAGGGAAAGCUGUGAUCAUAAUUAAGUUGAAACCAAAACAAUAAAAAUCUUAAACAUUG
Molecule: long non-coding RNA, 428 nt
Organism: Etheostoma cragini (Arkansas darter)
Lineage: Eukaryota; Metazoa; Chordata; Actinopteri; Perciformes; Percidae
Exons: 2
Source: RefSeq, a predicted model, not a curated record